Molecule: long non-coding RNA, 312 nt
Filed under: Salvia miltiorrhiza (redroot sage)
Lineage: Eukaryota; Viridiplantae; Streptophyta; Magnoliopsida; Lamiales; Lamiaceae
Description: long non-coding RNA (SMIL_LNC003936)
Source: RNAcentral
UUUUUUUUUUUUUUUGAGGGCCAAACGAAGAUUCAUUAGAUAGAAACAGCUCCCGAAGGAGAAGAGCGAACAAAGGAAGGGAGGGUAGAGACCAAAUCACAAGAAGAACAGUGGUGUAAAGCAAAUUUUGCGAGUUGGUCAGCUACAGAGUUUUCACAUCUUCUAGUCCAACUGAAUUUCACCUUAUCAAACUCUUUAGUGAGGGCCUUAAUAUCAUGGAUAACUCCACCCGUAAUCGAAAGGUCGCUCUCGCUGCAAGAAAGCCGACAGUAGGCAGAUUGGCAAUCGGUCUUGAUGAUAAUGGCUCUUCCU